UCCGUGCCAGCAGCCGCGGUAAUACGGAAGGUCCGGGCGUUAUCCGGAUUUAUUGGGUUUAAAGGGGGCGUAGGCCGGAGAUUAAGCGUGUUGUGAAAUGUAGACGCUCAACGUCUGCACUGCAGCGCGAACUGGUUUCCUUGAGUACGCACAAAGUGGGCGGAAUUCGUGGUGUAGCGGUGAAAUGCUUAGAUAUCACGAAGAACUCCGAUUGCGAAGGCAGCUCACUGGAGCGCAACUGACGCUGAAGCUCGAAAGUGCGGGUAUCGAACAGGAUUAGAUACCCUGGUAGUCCGCACGGUAAACGAUGGAUGCCCGCUGUUGGUCUGAAUAGGUCAGCGGCCAAGAGAAAGCAUUAAGCAUCCCACCUGGGGAGUACGCCGGCA
RNAcentral lists this ribosomal RNA (386 nucleotides) under uncultured Bacteroidota bacterium. RNAcentral's name for it is "bacterial SSU rRNA". It matches the Rfam family "Bacterial small subunit ribosomal RNA", at positions 502 to 890 of the family's 1533-position model. The record is from RNAcentral. Lineage: Bacteria; Pseudomonadati; Bacteroidota.